This 433-nucleotide ribosomal RNA is filed under the name uncultured bacterium. RNAcentral's name for it is "partial 16S ribosomal RNA". It matches the Rfam family "Bacterial small subunit ribosomal RNA", at positions 29 to 507 of the family's 1533-position model. The record is from RNAcentral.
AACGAACGCUGGCGGCAUGCCUAACACAUGCAAGUCGAACGAGACCUUCGGGCCUAGUGGCGCACGUGUGCGUAACGCGUGGGAACCUGCCCUUAGGUUCGGAAUAACUCCCCGAAAGGGGUGCUAAUACCGGAUAAUGUCUUCGGACCAAAGAUUUAUCGCCUUUGGAUGGGCCCGCGUUGGAUUAGCUAGUUGGUAGGGUAAAAGCCUACCAAGGCGACGAUCCAUAGCUGGUCUGAGAGGAUGAUCAGCCACACUGGGACUGAGACACGGCCCAGACUCCUACGGGAGGCAGCAGUGGGGAAUAUUGGACAAUGGGCGAAAGCCUGAUCCAGCAAUGCCGCGUGAGUGAUGAAGGCCUUAGGGUUGUAAAGCUCUUUUACCCGGGAUGAUAAUGACAGUACCGGGAGAAUAAGCUCCGGCUAACUCCGUG